This 2517-nucleotide long non-coding RNA is filed under the name Lathyrus oleraceus (garden pea). RNAcentral describes it as "Pisum sativum (pea) long non-coding RNA (PSAT_LNC041141)". The record is from RNAcentral. Lineage: Eukaryota; Viridiplantae; Streptophyta; Magnoliopsida; Fabales; Fabaceae.
UAACAUACGGUCACAUUUUCAUUUUCUUGUAAUUAUUCUAUUUUCAUUUUCUUGUAAUUAUUCUUUUUUCUUUUUUUCUUUUUCAUUUUCUACUUAUAAUUAGUAUUUUAGCAUAUUUUUUAAUCUGCAUAACUUAUGUUAAUUGUUUAAUUAUCAGAAUAUAGAAGAUGACAUUUUAUGUUCUUUAGGAUAUAAGUAUAUAUUUAUAAAAUUUUGAUGUUCAAUACAUGUCUUUCGAAACUAAUUAAUGUCAAGGUUUGUUACUCAUUACAUGUUUGAUUGAUUUAUAUAAUUGAGGUUGUAAUUAAAAUAAAUAUUUACUUUACAAUACUUAAUAGAAAACUCUAGUUCAUAAUCACUUUAUGAUUGUAUAAACAAAAUAAAAAGGGUAAAAAAAAACGUACUGCUGAAAAAUUGUCAUAUUUUUCUUUUUUUUCUAUCUUUUAUGAGUAAUUUUCUUUCUUAUCUUUCAAAUGUACAAAUCAAGUGAUUUCUGAUAUAGGUUGAUCUUUUGAUGGUUACACAUCUCAAACUUGUUUAUUUUGUCACUCUAUUCAUCUGUGUUUCCUCUUAUUUUCAAUUUUAUUCUUGCGUCACCAAUGAUUAUGAUAGGGUUUUUCGUAUUGUUUUGAUGAGAUUGAGAUGUUUGUUAGGAUUAUGAGGAUCUCACAAUAAUAAAGGUGGUGCUAAUGUAACACUGGAAAAAUGAUUGAGUUGGUUUCCUUUAUAACAUACGGUCUCAUUUUCAUUUUCUUGUAAUUAUUCUAUUUUCUUUUUUUCUUUUUCAUUUUCUUGUAAUUAUUCUUUUUUCUUUUUUUCUUUUUCAUUUUCUACUUAUAAUUAGUAUUUUAGCAUAUUUUUUAAUCUACAUAACUUAUGUUAAUUGUUUAAUUAUCAGAAUAUAGAAGAUGACAUUUUAUGUUCUUUAGGAUAUAAGUAUAUAUUUAAUUAAUUUUGAUGUUCAAUACAUAUCUUUCUAAACUAAUUAAUGUCAAGGUUUGUUACUCAUUACAUGUUUGAUUGAUUUAUAUAAUUGAGGAUGUACUUAAUAUAAAUAUUUACUUUACAAUACUUAAUAGAAAACUCUGGUUCAUAAUCACUUUAUGAUUGUAUAAACAAAAUAAAAAGGGUAAAAAAAUACGUACUGCUGAAAAAUUGUCAUAUUUUCCUUUUUUUUCUAUCUUUUAUGAGUAAUUUUCUUUCUUAUCUAUCAAAUGUACAAAUCAAGUGAUUUCUGAUAUAGGUUGAUCUUUUGAUGGUUACACAUCUCUAACUCUCUCAUUUUGUCACUCUAUUCAUCUGUGUUUCUUCUUAUUUUCAAUUUUAUUCUUGCGUCACCAAUGAUUAUGAUAGGGUUUUCGUAUUAUUUUGAUGAGAUUGAGAUGGUUGUUAGGAUUAUAAGGAUCUCAAAAUAAUAAAGAUGGUGCUAAUGUAACACUGGAAAAAUGAUUGAGUUGGUUUCCUUUAUAACAUACGGUCACAUUUUCAUUUUCUUGUAAUUAUUCUAUUUUCAUUUUUUCUUUUUCAUUUUCUUGUAAUUAUUCUUUUUUCUUUUUUUCUUUUUCAUUUUCUACUUAUAAUUAGUAUUUUAGCAUAUUUUUUAAUCUACAUAACUUAUGUUAAUUGUUUAAUUAUCAGAAUAUAGAAGAUGACAUUUUAUGUUCUUUAGGAUAUAAGUAUAUAUUUAAUUAAUUUUGAUGUUCAAUACAUAUCUUUCUAAACUAAUUAAUGUCAAGGUUUGUUACUCAUUACAUGUUUGAUUGAUUUAUAUAAUUGAGGUUGUACUUAAUAUAAAUAUUUACUUUACAAUACUUAAUAGAAAACUCUGGUUCAUAAUCACUUUAUGAUUGUAUAAACAAAAUAAAAAGGGUAAAAAAAUACGUACUGCUGAAAAAUUGUCAUAUUUUCCUUUUUUUCUAUCUUUUAUGAGUAAUUUUCUUUCUUAUCUUUCAAAUGUACAAAUCAAGUGAUUUCGGAUACAGGUUGAUCUUUUGAAGGUUACACAUCUCAAACUUGUUUAUUUUGUCACUCUAUUCAUCUGUGUUUCCUCUUAUUUUCAAUUUUAUUCUUGCGUCACAAAUGAUUAUGAUAGAGUUUUUCGUAUUGUUUUGAUGAGAUUGAGAUGUUUUUUAGGAUUAUAAGGAUCUCACAAUAAUAAAGGUGGUGCUAAUGUAACACUGGAAAAAUGAUUGACUUGGUUUCCUUUAUAACAUACGGUCUCAUUUUCAUUUUCUUGUAAUUAUUCUAUUUUCUUUUUCAUUUUCAUUUUCUUGUAAUUAUUCUUUUUUCUUUUUUUUCUUUUUCAUUUUCUACUUAUAAUUAGUAUUUUAGCAUAUUUUUAGUCUAUAUAACUUAUGUUAAUUGUUUAAUUAUCAGAAUAUAGAAGAUGACAUUUUAUGUUGUUAAGGAUAUAAGUAUAUAUUUAAUUAAUUUUGAUGUUCAAUACAUAUCUUUCUAAACUAAUUAAUGUCAAGGUUUGUUACUCAUUACAUGUUUGAUUGAUUUAUAUAAUUGAGG